GCGUGGAGGCUACGAAUCGUCAUUUUUGGAGUCAAACUUCAAUGGCAGCAAAACUUCAAACUGCAUGAGUUUUCGGCGAUUUCAUCGAAAAAUUGAUGAUGACGUGGGUUAGAAACUUUUUCGUGAUGGGUUUUGGGUUUUUUCUCAAUGUUUGUUACUACUGAUUCUUCUUUUGUUCUUCUACUUCUAUGUUGUUGGAAAGGAAGGGGCCAAUUAAAUCUAAUCUUUUUUGAUAAUUUUGAGGAGUUUUGAGAAUUUUUCGAUGACACCGACAAAUGAAGGAUAUCAAUGGAGGAGGUGAGCGGCAAGCGAAGUAUAAGAAGACUCAAAAAUCGAUGAGGAAUUGAAAACGAAAGUAGUCGAAGUUGUAGAAGACAAUGAACACGAUUCUAAAAAGAGUGUUUUGCAGAG
This 411-nucleotide long non-coding RNA is filed under the name Capsicum annuum. RNAcentral's name for it is "long non-coding RNA (CANN_LNC003813)". The record is from RNAcentral. Lineage: Eukaryota; Viridiplantae; Streptophyta; Magnoliopsida; Solanales; Solanaceae.